AAAACCAGGCAUAGAUAAUUACCGUACUCUUAAAGAGUUCAUGGUAACCUUAACCUUUCAGAAAAAAAGCCUUUUAUUAUAUUCGUUUUAGUAAAAUUCAGUCAUUUCCAAAUUUGAAAUUUAAGAUAUUUCCCACUCCGGUAGGGGGCGGUAACGAGUAUUUUACUAACAAGCUGCGAGUGAUUUACAAACAUAAAGGAAGUGCGAAGAAACAUGCCUCGAUGCUAGUUUAGCAUUGAAUAGAAGGAUGCUGAGUGUAAAGAGAACGCUGUAUUUAUUUUAAAUGAUAUGCAGUCAGGAAACUAUAAGGACCAUUUCGGUUAUUGACGUGGAUUGGGAUAUUUCUGCGGCAAUGCUGAGUAAGUCUAGCAGCAAGCUGAAUGUGUUGGUCAACAAACUACACGAGUAUUUGGCCCACUCCACCAUUGAGGACAACAAGCAUAAUGCAGCCUCGCAGGAUGUGGAUGGUCUGGCAAACAGAUGCUCUGCAGAAAACACAACAGGUCGAGCUGUGACGGAGGUAAAUUUAUAUAGUGCAACGAUCACAGGAACCCCAACACACCGUUGUUAUUUGUAAUUAUACUGCUUAAAACCACAAUUAUUCUCUCUUCUCACUACAAUGAGGAGUAUACCUCCAAGCUCAGGUUGAGCUUCAUAGCAACAACCUUUCUCCUACAGGUGCAUCAGCCAGUCAGGAAAUGUUGGGAUUAAUGUUAUAUGGUGCUAGCAGGAUGGUUUUUAGUCAGGUGACUUUAAUUCUGCUUGAAUUAAAUAAAUGCUAACGGUCCCUGAUGACAAGGAUCGUCAGAUCUGAUAAUGGUUUUGAUGCAGUUAGUGUCCAGAUGUUUUCAUCAAAACAUAAUAAAUAAAUCUUAUUUAUUGAGAAAAAUUGAUACAUUACUGCUGCAGUUUAAACAAAAAAAAGUUGUGCUUUAGAAAUGCCAAGUAGCCUAAACCCCUGUCUUGCCCUGUAGGCACAACUGCAUGCCAGAUACUCAAGAAGGUGAGUUUUCCUUCUUACCUAUUUUGUUUGCAUAGGAAAAGCAGCAUGAAGAUAAGUGGGUGAGAGGUGAACCUAUAAAGUCUGUAACCCAUUACUUCUCUCAUUAUUCCAGAAAACCCUCUGUGGUGAUAAGACACUCGGGGCUGGAUGAAUCUGGGGACUCGAAUGCAAGUGAAAGUUCAGAACCUCUGCUCAAUGCAAAUGGUCACCUGGACGUCGCCAGUUUGCCCAAAGGUUGGUCUUAACAUAUUCAGCUUAGGUCUGUUUCCACUGCGCGGGUUCCUGUUAAAUACUGGGGGCAGGAACAUUGCGGGAACACUUCCUCUCACUUGGCACUUGGGGUAGGACAUCAGCACUUUCAAGUGCUGUGUAAUGGUUGCGCCACUGUUUCAACAGUGGCCAGGCAACCUGCCAAAAUCAUAAAGAAAACAGUGAGGGAGGAGAAGAAUGUGGGAAGAGCUGAGGUGGUUGAUGGUUUGUGUAAAAACUUGUUGUUUUGGUGAUUUCUAAUGGCAUCAGAAUGUGCUUCCAUUCAGCUCCAAGAAACACCUAAUGCCCCAUCCAGGAGUUUUGGGGGGCGUUCUAAGUACCUACCCUGGUGAAGGGACUGAUUAGUCGCAGCUAAAGUUCCUGUAAAUGGCUCUUUGGGUGGACACCAAUGGCCCCGAACCCAUAAAAUUACCCUGAAUUUCCUGCAGAGGAGCCACAUCUGUUAUUUCUUCUAUCAGUUUCAGCAUUUUGUGGACACACAUUUCUUGUAUUAUUGUGCUUAUUAUAAUAGAAUCCAACCAAUUUUACAGUUGUUGGGCAAGCACAUGUGUGUACUGUUCUGAAUGACUGCAAAACACAUUUUUAGCCAAAUGUGCCUUUAAUGUUCUCAGGCACAGUCCUCGUGCAGCCUGAACCUGCUGAUAAUGGAAGAGAUGGCUUCAGGGGUCCAGAGUUCUGCAGCAGGAAACCAAACGUGCUCUCAAGAAGACGUGGGGGUCAGUCACUUCCAGAUUUUAUAAACUGCCACACGCCUGGUUAUUGCAUGCACGGCCAUUAGAGCAAUAGAUUGUAAUGGUGGAAAGCUUACAGCGUUUGGCUCUUCAUGUGCUCGAGCAGAGGGGGAACUGGGUGGUUUUUCCAUUUUAGCCCGACUGUUAAACACAGUUAUCGCCCUUAAUGUUAAUGCAAAUGUUUUU
RNAcentral lists this long non-coding RNA (2190 nucleotides) under Takifugu rubripes (torafugu). RNAcentral describes it as "lncRNA (ENSTRUG00000028466.1)". Lineage: Eukaryota; Metazoa; Chordata; Actinopteri; Tetraodontiformes; Tetraodontidae. The record is from RNAcentral.